UCUGGGAAACUGCCUGAUGGAGGGGGAUAACUACUGGAAACGGUAGCUAAUACCGCAUAAUGUCGCAAGACCAAAGUGGGGGACCUUCGGGCCUCAUGCCAUCAGAUGUGCCCAGAUGGGAUUAGCUAGUAGGUGGGGUAAUGGCUCACCUAGGCGACGAUCCCUAGCUGGCCUGAGAGGAUGAUCAGCCACACUGGGACUGAGACACGGCCCAG
This 215-nucleotide ribosomal RNA is filed under the name uncultured bacterium. RNAcentral describes it as "partial 16S ribosomal RNA". It matches the Rfam family "Bacterial small subunit ribosomal RNA", at positions 116 to 334 of the family's 1533-position model. The record is from RNAcentral.